UGUUGACCUCGGAUCAGGUAGGAAUACCCGCUGAACUUAAGCAUAUCAAUAAGCGGAGGAAAAGAAACCAACAGGGAUUGCCCUA
RNAcentral lists this ribosomal RNA (85 nucleotides) under Fusarium oxysporum. Its description in RNAcentral is "partial 28S ribosomal RNA". It matches the Rfam family "Eukaryotic large subunit ribosomal RNA", at positions 1 to 82 of the family's 3401-position model. Lineage: Eukaryota; Fungi; Ascomycota; Sordariomycetes; Hypocreales; Nectriaceae. The record is from RNAcentral.